Molecule: ribosomal RNA, 455 nt
Filed under: Staphylococcus aureus
Lineage: Bacteria; Bacillati; Bacillota; Bacilli; Caryophanales; Staphylococcaceae
Description: partial 23S ribosomal RNA
Rfam family: Bacterial large subunit ribosomal RNA
Source: RNAcentral
GUUGAAAAGUGAGCGGAUGAACUGAGGGUAGCGGAGAAAUUCCAAUCGAACCUGGAGAUAGCUGGUUCUCUCCGAAAUAGCUUUAGGGCUAGCCUCAAGUGAUGAUUAUUGGAGGUAGAGCACUGUUUGGACGAGGGGCCCCUCUCGGGUUACCGAAUUCAGACAAACUCCGAAUGCCAAUUAAUUUAACUUGGGAGUCAGAACAUGGGUGAUAAGGUCCGUGUUCGAAAGGGAAACAGCCCAGACCACCAGCUAAGGUCCCAAAAUAUAUGUUAAGUGGAAAAGGAUGUGGCGUUGCCCAGACAACUAGGAUGUUGGCUUAGAAGCAGCCAUCAUUUAAAGAGUGCGUAAUAGCUCACUAGUCGAGUGACACUGCGCCGAAAAUGUACCGGGGCUAAACAUAUUACCGAAGCUGUGGAUUGUCCUUUGGACAAUGGUAGGAGAGCGUUCUAAGG